UAUUAAAUAUCUUUUUUAUUUGUUUGAUUUCAAUAAAAUACAAUAUAUAUAUUUUAAAUAUAUAGUAUGUAUUUAAUAUAUCCAUAGUUAUAUAAAUGGACUAUAUUAUUUAACAUUAUAUUAUUUUAAAUUAAAUGCCAAAUAAAUUGUUAAAAAAAAGGACUUCACACUUAAUAAAUUAUUUAUCUGUAUAAAUUAAGAAUGAUCUUUUAUUAGCUUUGAAGCGCUUUUAUUAAUUUAUUAAUUUUAAUAAAUUCAAAUGUGUAUUUAUGUAUGAAUAGUGCAGCUAAGAAAUGGUCAAUGCAUAUGUCCAAAUAGUUAUUGUGGUAGAACAUAUAAAAAGAAGUUUUCAUUGUAUCGCCAUUGUUGACAAGAGUAUGGUGUUGAACCUCAAUAUCGGUGUUUGUAUUGUAUGAAAACAUUUCAACACAAAGAAUCAUUCAAAUCACACUCUAUAAUAGUUCAUAACUCUUAUAACUUUGAUGAUUUGCAAUUGAAACAACCCGAAAAUACAAUUUAGUAUUCAAUGAUUUAUUUAGUAGUCUUUCAAGCAUUCAAAACACAAUGAUUUCUCCUAUUAUAUAAAAACUUGUUCAACAAAAGCAUACUAAGUUUGUGUGAAGUGGAAAAAAAAAUUUUACAGGAAUUGGUACAUAAGCAUAUGGUAUAAACAGCAAAGAAAAAUCUGAUUAUGAAACAUCCAAUGAUUUUAUCUAUUAUAUCAUAUAAUUUUUUAAAUAUAAAAACAUAUACUAAAACAAAAACAUUUACAAAAUAAGCUCCUAUACAAAUGACAAAAAAACUAAAAUCAAUGUAAUAAAAAUCGAUACAUAAAUAUGGUAUAACCUAAAUCUUAAAGGAAGGAUGUAACUAUAAUGAACCAUCUAUGUAUAGAAUUCACAUUUCUAACCUAUAACUACUCUGAGGUUAAAAAUAAAUCACUUAAAUAUGAAUUAUAUGAAAUUAAUUACAAUGAAAUACAUUGUUACCAAAGGCUGCUAAGAUGAAGAUAUAAGAAAUUAACACUGUAUAGAUCACACAAAUUUGGACUCAAUCUAUUUUCAAAUAUAAAUAAAAUUAAUUUUUUUUUUUAACAAAACUAUACAAUUAUUCCAAUUCAAUUAAGUUACAUUAACUUGAGAAAAAAAAACUGUAACAUAAUAUUAUACAUAAAUCAACUUUGUAAUUGUAAUAUUUCUAAUAUCUAUAUUAUACUAUUGAAUUUAGCUACUGUUAACUCAUGUUUUCUAUAUCAAUAAAAUUAUAAAAUAUAAACGUACUUGUUAACAUUUAUUAAGUAUAAAGAUUGAACUUCAACUAAAAAUUAAAAUUUUUCGUAUCAUUGAACAUAUUCUUAUGAACUCUAACAUCACUUAAUACGUUGACUGCGUACUGACACCAAUUGGCGUCAUGAGGAUCAUUCAGCAAUGCCAUUUGGCGUCCAAUAUAUGUUUAAAUUUAAAUUAAAUGGUUUAUUAUUUACUAAGUAUUGCCGAAUGUUAUGUUAUUAUUAUUUAGUGUUGUUAAACGCAUGUUUUAAAAUAUGUAUUUAUAUGCUGUUUGAAUGUAUGACUAUACAAGAGCAAUUUUUAAUGUUAUUUUUAGAAAAGUGACAUACGCACUUGGUGAAAACUUGAAAUAGACCUACGCAGUUAACGUGUUAAGCAUAUGUCUAACAUUUAAUUUAUUAUAAGAGUUUAUUAUUGGUCAAUGGUUGUAGUUCAUCAAUUAUUUUUAGGUUAUCGACUUAUUGUUCCCUUGCAUUUUACAACUUGAAUAAAGUUAAUUUUAAAUUGUUAAUAAUAAAUGUACUCAUUAUACUAUUUAAUAAAUUUAUUUAUUUAAACUUCUUGUCAUUUUUAAAUGUUAGUUUGGCAUGACCUAAAAAUAUAUUGUGUUCUGUAAAUGUUAUGUAUAAUAUUGAUUGUAAAUGUUUAUUAUUAUGUUGAAAGAUGUUUAUAAUUUAAAUAUAAAUAUAAACUAUUUUAAUAAUUAUUAUUUAAUUAAUGAUUUUAAAUGUUUAUUAAGUCAUGUGUAAAUACACUGUAAAACAUGAUUUUAAACAGUUAUGUAAUAAUUAGGUCUAGGCAUUAUUGAUAUCAUUUAAACAACUUUUUUUUUUAUCUUAUUUUCUUUCUGUGACAUUGCAGUUCUUUUACUACUUGUUGUUUGUCCAAUCAGUGGAAGAUAUAUAUGCCCAAAUACAUGUGGUCGAAGUUAUAAAGAAAAGCACAAUCUUAAUAGACAUUUAAGAAAAGAAUGUGGAGUUGCUCCUCAACAUAAAUGCAUCCAAUGCUCAAAAGCUUUUAAGCAUAAAGCACAUUUAACUAGACACUUUUUAUCUUGUGCUAAUAUUCCUCCAAAUUUUGAAUGUAUAUUUUGUGGAAAGAUGUUCAGAUGUAGAGAUACAUUGAAAAAUCAUAAUUUAUUAGUUCAUAAUGUGUUUUAAUAAUUUACUCAAUAACUAUUAUACUAUUGUUAUUAUUAAAAAUAGUUAAAUCAUGAGCUUUAUAUUAUUAUUAAAAUACAUGUAAUAUACACAAUCUUUAUUAGAAACUUAAUGUAAUAAAUUUUGUAUUAAGUUAUUUUUAUAAUUUAUAAUAAUAUUGAAUUUGAGUUGAUAUAAUUCUGUUAUAUUACUUGAAAUAAAUUAAAAAGGUUAAUUAUUAUUUUAUAAAAUUUAACUAUCUGAGAAUUUUUCAUUUUAAUAAAAAAAUAAAGUUCAAUUAUAUUUGGGCAUAUCCCAGAAAGUGUUUGUCAUUUUUUUUCUGUAUAAAUCUUUUAUUUUUUCAUAAAUUAUAUAAUUAUAUCAUUUUUAUUUGAAUUUUAUAAGUCUUAAUUUCAUUAGUAUCAAUUUUUAUUUUCAAACAUUAAAUUAUUAAAUGACUUUAUCUCAUUAAUUUAACUUCAAUUGUUAUCAUCAUACUUUUGUGUUAAAAUUAUUGUUAUUGCUAAUUAUUAUCCAAAUUAAAAUAAGAACAUUUUACACUUGAAGUAUUUUUUGGUGGACCACUUUAAAAAAGUAAAAAUUAAAAUAAAACAACAAUUGAAAAUAUUUUCCAAUAAAGUAUGUAUUUAGUGCAAUAUACGAACAUAAUAUAAUUGUACAUGUAAUACUUAGUACUUUCAUAUAGAUGAUGUAGAAAUUGAUUACCUAGUAUUUAAAUGUUUUUUACACCCUUAAAAUUGAUAAUAAUUUAACAAUAAUUAUUUUUUUAAUAAUUGACGCUAUAUCACUUGGAAAUUUAUUUUGAAAUAAGUAAUUUUAUUAGAAGCUAGAUAUUUAACCUAUUUAAAUGGUAUAAAUCAAUAAAAUGGUAAAGUGGUUCAAUAGAUGUGAGUAUUUGAUUUAAAAUAUUGAUCCUUAAGUAUUUUUUCUUAUGGAUUUCUUUAAUUAUCUCGACAUCUCUAAAUUAUCUGUCAAUAUUCAUUAAUAUAUUAUAGAAAACUAAGAAAAUAAAAUCAUUAUAAUCAAUUAGGUUUUAAAAAUAUUAUCCUAAUGUAUGUAUUAUUUAAUUAAGUACAUUUUUUUUUUCAUCUAACACAACAGUGUUCAUAUAAUCUCUUAGUUUUACCCUCUAAAAAAACAAGUAUACAUACCUACUACCUGCAUAAGUAGUAGAUAAAAAUAGCAUAUUAUGUAUAUACUACAUAGAAUUAGCUUUAAAAAUGCAAUAUUAUAAACAUGAUUUUUUAAAUUUUAUACCCUGGAAAUACUUGUAAAAUUCAAUUUUGAUAUUAAUAUAAGAAUAAGGCUUAUAAAUUAACUUUGAUAGAUACUUAUUUAUCCAUUUUAAUGUUUUUAUAGUAAAUAUAAAUGGUACAAAAAUAAAUAUAUCAAUGUUUUAUAUUAAAUUUAAAGUUAUAAAGUUAAACAUAUUAUUAAAUAUCUUCUACUAAAUAUAUAAAUAUAUAUAUAAUUAUUAUACAUAUAAUACAGUUUUUUAGUAUUUAAGAAUGUUUACUAAGUAUCAUGUAUUAAUACUGUAUCAAUGUUGAGACCUGAAAUUAAAUUUUUUAUAUAAUAUAGCUAAAUUAUAUAGUAUGAGCCUAAUUUAUGACUAGGUAUGAUAAUUAUUGUUUUUAUUAUUAACUAUUGAGUUUUAUAAACUGCACAAAAUGAUGCUCAGCAUAAUAUGUAAAAGUUUAAACAAUAGUAUAAUUUUCUGAUUGUAAUUGUUGAGCUUCUACUAUAAAUUAUUAUUAUUUUUUUUUAAUUUUAUAACAGAGAUAUCAAGAUUAAAACAAAACAGUAUUUAUGUUUUUAAAAAUGAUUAUUAAAUAAAUCUUUAUUUAAAAAAUUGAGUUUUUAUUUAAUGAAGAUUAAAUUAUUAAAACAGUUAAGUUUACUCAAAAUCUAAUAUAAUUGUCUCAGUUUUCAAUUAAUUAGUUAAUACUUAGCAUUUCAUUUCAAUUCUAUAUUUCUAUAUUUUUAUCAGUUUGAUAUUUUAUUAUAAUGGCUUAACAAUGUUUAUUUUUUUCAGGUUUACUAAGCCGUUGGCCAUGUAUGAACAAUUGUGGUAGAAGCUAUAAGAACAAAGGUGACUUAAUACGCCACAUGAGAAAAGAAUGUGGUAUUGCUCCUCAAUAUCGUUGUGAUACUUGUCGUAAAAUGUUUAAACAUGUACAUCAUUUAAAGUCACAUAUGAUCGUGGUUCAUCAGAAACUAUUUAAAAGCAAUUAAAAUAACUUUUUUUAUAAUACCUAUAUAGUCUUAUAAAAAUAAAAGCUAAUAACAUUUAGUGUUGUGCUUUAGUAUGCUCUCUUUUAAUUAAUAAAAAAAAUUAUUUUUGUUCUCAAUUAACUGUAUAUUUAUUAACAUUAAAAUUACUACAUUGUAACACAAAUUUAUGUAUUAUACUAGAUUAGGAAUUUUGAAUAAAAUUUAUAUAAAAUAACUGAUAUUUGUAUACCAUGUUUUGUGGCCAAAAAACACGAUGUAUGUAUGUAUGUAUAUUUAUAUGAUAUAAAAAUUGCAAACUAGGUAACAUUUUAAAAUACCAAAGAUAUUAUUUAAAUAUACAUGUCAAUCUUCCAACUAAGAAAAUUAUUAAACAACAUUGAUUAAUUUAAUGGUACAUUGUGAACUUAAAAAUUAUUAAUAAUAAAUGUUUUAGAUUCACAAGUUCAGUAGCGAAUUCUCCAGGCAUGCUCAGCAUGCGCCGCAUGCUUAGAAAAUAAAAACAUUAUUAAUCAAAAUAAAAAAAUUAUUUUAUAAUCAAUAAUAUAUAUUACGUAUUUUAAAAGAAAUAAAAUGUGUUACAUUAAUUCAUUUAUUUCUGUUAUACUUAGGUAUCUGUGUUUAUCUUUAUUCUAACAUUUAAUGACAGAGCAUGCGAUAGAUGUGUGCGCAAGCUAUACGACCCUUAUUAUCGCUGUAAAAAAAUCAGUUACUCUGAGACCUCUUCUUCUAGCAACUGCGUAUUAAUCACCCAGGGUAUGCUCAUUCUGUUGCGCUUUAUCAAAGUAAUUUAUAAAAUUUACAUGUACGAGUAAAUGACAAUUUUUUUUAUUUUAGUUAAAAGAGUUAGUCAAGUCUUAAUUACAAUUAUUAAAGUAUCAUUUAAGUAAGUGCUAUUGUAUAUAAAAUAUAUUAAAUUAAAGUCUUAUUUAUAAAUUAAUACAAAUUUUAGUAUUAUUUAUUAAUUAUAAAUUAAAUAGAACUGCACAAGUUUCUUAUCUAAUGUAGUAUAGUUAGUACAUGGUGUACAAUACUUAGAUUAGGUGAUAAAUUAUUAUAUUUUAAAAAUGAUUUCAUUCUUGUGAACUAAAUUAAAUUUAGUAUACUAUGUAAUAAUUAAUAAUGUAUCAUCUAUAAUAUAAAAUUAUAUAAUUAAACACUAUAAUUCUUAAGUUUAAUAUGUUCCAUUAAUUAUAGUGAUUUUUCUUUUAUGCCAACUUUCUUAAAACUUUUUUUUUUUUACUUCAAUAAUUUUAUUUUUGUGAAUUACAGAUUUUUUUUUUAUAUUUAAGUUUAAAAACAAAAUAUCUAAAAUAAAAUAAUUAUGGUACAUGAUUAUUAUUAAUAAUAAAAAACAAUGCAAAUACUUAAAUUGAGAAAUAUUUUGAAAUUCAUUAAGAAAAAUAAAAAUAAGUAUAAAUAUAUUGGCAUAGUUGUAGCAGUGUACAAUAUGGUGUUUUUGUACUUGGUUGAGACAAAUAUUGUCUUUACUAAUAAUAGAUUGUAUAAUGUAUUGAAUAUUAAAUAUAUUAUACAUAAUAUUCAAUGGAAAGAUAAUGUUGAGUAUAUAUCUUUAAGAAUCAGAGGUUAUAAUUUAAUUUAAAAUAACAAAACAAUAUAACAACUAUUUUAAACUUACUGUAUUCAAAAUAAAUACAGAUGUUUUUUGUUACUAGAUUUUAGAUUGUUACAAAUUAUUUAAUUUAUAAAACUUAAUAUAUAUUGUAUACAUAAACAUUGUCUAUUUUUUAAUAAAUAUAUCUUCAUAUACUUAGGUUAUUUUUCAAGGUGGCAGUGCUGGAAUAGAUCUGGACAAAGUUAUAAGUACAAAUAUGAUUUAGUAGACAUAUAAGAAAUAAAAUAGAGUUAAAUACUGAUAAAAUUAUAAAUUUGUUUAAAAGUAUUCAAACGAAAUGACAAUGUAAUAGUUUAUAUGACUAGGAAUAAAGCAAUUACAUAUUUUUUUGAAUUUAACUUAAAAGAAUUACUUUGAAACUUUGAAGACCUGUUUUAAUACUACAAGAACAUCUAAUGUAUGUUUAUCAUGUAUAUAUUUGUUUUCAGAAAUGAAACCGUCCAAGAGUACUCUUAAUUUGUUCUUUGAAAGUUUAAAUUCUAUGCCAUUAAAUUUUAACAAAUAAAAUGUGAUUUAACGAUUUUUCUAUUUUGGUAAUAAGAUAAAUACAAUAGAUUAAUCCAUAAAAAAAAAAAAUGGUUUGUCAGAUAUGAAAUUAGUGUAAUUUAACAGACAAAGAAUUUAAAUGUAAUAUAUGGUGUGCGUGUGUGUGUGUAUAUAUAAUAUAUGGUAAUUAUUUUAUAUUAAAAAACCAUAUAUUGACAUUAUUAUUAACAUCAAUGGUAUAUAGGGUAGGUUUAUUAUUUUGUUACACCUACCUAUAAACAAAACAGCUUAAAAAUAUAUGUAUUUAUUUAUCUUAUUAAUCUAGCAAUGAUUCACCCAAUUUAACAAGCCUGGACAUUUUCUUCAUGUGGUCUGCCAAACUAACAUAUUAUGUAGAAUAAAUUUUCUAACAUAAAUAGUAAUAAUACUUAAGUUGAUAAUAGAGAAAAAUUUAAUUUGGUUAAUUUUCAUUUUGAUAAAUAGGAAUGUG
Long non-coding RNA from Aphis gossypii (cotton aphid), 7293 nucleotides. RefSeq lists it as uncharacterized. The transcript has 4 exons. Lineage: Eukaryota; Metazoa; Arthropoda; Insecta; Hemiptera; Aphididae. The record is from RefSeq and is a predicted model, not a curated record.